RNAcentral lists this ribosomal RNA (674 nucleotides) under Baltazaria pingbianensis. RNAcentral describes it as "partial small subunit ribosomal RNA". It matches the Rfam family "Bacterial small subunit ribosomal RNA", at positions 378 to 942 of the family's 1533-position model. Lineage: Eukaryota; Fungi; Basidiomycota; Agaricomycetes; Agaricales. The record is from RNAcentral.
UAAGAGUGAACUAGCUAACUGAAAUCUCCUUUUCUAUUGCUCUUUAAAAAAGCUAGCACAGAAUAGCUAAUUCAUUACUAUAAUGUUUUAGUCUUAACCAGGAUAACGUUAGGGAUAAUAAUGAUAUUACCUUUCUAUAAGUGUUGUCUAAAUUUGGUGCCAGAAGACUCGGUAAGGCCGAAAACGCAAACGUUAAUCCUCUUAAUCAGGCGUAAAGGGUUCGUAGGCGGCUUUAAUCAUCUUACACCAGAAGAUACUAAUAUAUAAGAAAGCCCAAAGGCUAUUAUAUGCAUUAAACAAAAAUUAGGAUCUUAAAGUAUUUAUUGGGUAAGUCUACUUAAAGCUAGAAUCAGGUAGAGGUAGCAAUGAAAGGCUUAAAGUAGGGGUUUUAUCUCUAGAGAUUUGAUUUUAACAAUCGGAACCGUCGAAGACUAAAUUGCGAAAGCUAAUUUUCCAUUACCGAAUUUGACGCUGAGGAACGAAGGUGAGUGAUAGGAAACAGGAUUUGAUACCCCACUACCCUCUCUGUCAACGAUGAAUGGUAAUUAUUAAUCAGGGUAUUAUACCUGUAAUUAGUUUUAAUGUUAACACGUUAACCAUUCCGCCUUGUGAGUACGAUUGCAAAAUUGAAAACAAAAAAAUUAGUCAGUUUUGGAGCAAACGAAGUGAAGCUG